AUGGCCAAAAUAGAUGAGGUGCUUAAGGUAUCCCCCUGUGAAACUCCUCCUGGCCGUGACAUCCUUCCAUUUUUAUCCGAAAGACCACUGUUGGAAGAUCCACAUCAGAUCAGAGUCCGUGGCCUUGCCAAGAAGGCCCAGACUGACCUGUCACUGGUGGAGGAGUUUAAAAUGGUUGCUUUAAGCACAGUAAAGGGAGAACGCCUCAGAAUACCUUUCGACAUCAACAAUUCCCAGACUGCCAAAGAGACCUGCGUUGCUGAGGAGCUUGGCAAGAUAUCAGAACAGCCAGCUCCUCCAGUGCUCUCCUUGACAGAGCCCGUGAAGCCGACAGUGAUGGAGGCUUCAAUGAACAGCUGCCCAGGACACCUGCUGCCUCAUAUACGUCAGCCCAGACCAAAGGCCUCAUAUAGCAGAAGGAUCACGAAUGGGGCCAUAGAGGUGAGGAAGGGUUCGGGAUUCCAGGUCGUCCGUAAGAUCGCUCACGUGAGGCAGGAGCCCUUUACCACCAGCGAAGAAAGUCCCAGCAAGUGCAAUUUUCCACCCCAGAGUGAAGGCUCCUUAAUAAAACCUCAUCAUUCUCAGUGUAUGAAACUGCAAAUGGAGGAGAAGAUCCCGGAAAUGAAGAGCUUCCCUAAGGAGGCUUGGGCAGGAGGAAAUAAAAGAGAGAAAAAGUCAAGAAACCGAAGCCUUGACAUCUCAAGCUUUAAAUCCGAUCUCCCACCAGCUAAUGAAAAGAAUGAAGACAGUGAAAUCAAUGUCUCUCCAAAACCCACAACGAUUAGUACAGAACUGAAGGAUCCUUCAGCAAUUGAAAGCAUCAGUGCCCAACCGGGAAAAAGAGAAGUCAAGGAAGUUGAAAAGGAACAGGAUCGUACUUGCAGGGAGAAGCUGCUUAGGAAAACUUGCUUUAUGAACAUAAAAGGAAGCGAAAAGAAAUUUAAAAGAGACUCAGAGAAUGCCUCUCAAUUGUCAAAUAAAAUACAGCAGAAGAAUAAUGAGGGCUCUGCUCCAGAGAAGCCUUCAUGCAAUCAAGGGAGACUUACUGCAGAGAGAGAAGAGGGAAGCUGUACCUCCUGCUUUGCUUUUUUACAACUUUUUAUGAGGAAGAGAAGGUGAAGGGACUGCAGUGACACUGGCAGCAUCUUCAAUAUUCUUUCAUUUCAAUGUUAACCCAAAGAAAAGGGUUGAAAGUAUAAAAUACAUCUGCCUUACCCCAUUUCUUUUAAUUCACAGAGACUAAAUAAAUCCUUUAACUGUUAACAUAAUGGUGUUUGUGUGCUGCUUAAUAUUUGAUUAGGAAAUACAGUAUUUUGGAGAGUCCUACAGUAUGCCCAUUCACAUCUUAUCAUUUUUAACUCUUGGAUAACAGCAAUGUCACUGUUUAUAACUUUCCUUUAACAAUGCAAAAUUUUAAAUACCUUAAUACUGCAAAACAUUUCUCAUCAAAAGUAACCUACCCUGUCCCCUUUCCUGGUUAAUUAGGAUAUAUCAUUUCUACAUUAUUUUGUGACAUNNNNNNNNNNNNNNNNNNNNNNNNNNNNNNNNNNNNNNNNNNNNNNNNNNNNNNNNNNNNNNNNNNNNNNNNNNNNNNNNNNNNNNNNNNNNNNNNNNNNAAGCCGUAAUCUGAUCGAACUCAACCACCUCAUCCACGACUGUAAACAAUAAACAUGCAUAUUGUUGUAAUUUUGCUUAUAGUAUUCAAAUUUGGACAAGAAAUCCUCCUGCUUCAUACUAUUCUAACAGAAAAAACCUUGAAGAUCAGUGCCACCCAGCUCAGUUUUGCCCCAUGAAAAAAAGCAAGUGUAAAAUGCCACUAAAAGAGUGCAGUAAGUGUACCAAUUGAGCCCAAUUUCAGCAGUAUUUGCCCAUCUUGAAAGCUACUUUGAAAUUUCAGCCUUGCAACAGCUAUAGAAGAAAACAUUUCCAAUUUAUCUUCAGAGGAAUAGUAAUGAUUUUUUAAAGAGACUGAAUGUGUUUAUUUACCUUGAACAAUUAAAUAACUAUGUAUUUUUUAGAGAGAAUUCAAAGUUGGGUUUCCUGACCUUUCAGAUGUACGGUAUAUUUUGCGGCAGGCCUGAGAAGACUAGCACAGAGAUUAUCUGUAUUACGAUAUAAUAGACAUUUGUUAAUGUCCUCCUCGUCUAAUUACUAAUUUCAUUACUUUAUCACCAAAUGACAAUGAGAGCAAAAAUAUAUUGGAUAUUUUUGUACAAGACACUUGGCAGAGUCUUAGGUGCAUCUUGUCUCUUCUCCUUUUUAGUGAUCUUCAUGGACAUUAUAUCAAGGGGCAGCUGGGAUUUGGAGUGUAUCCACUUUAUGGACCUGAGGGUUGCAUCUCUGGUGUUUAAGGAUGAUGUUGUCUCCUUUGCCUCAUCUGACUGUGAUCUUCAGUGGGCAUUUGCAAGAUUUGCAGCUGAGUGCGAUGCGGUCGGGAUGAGGAAUAGCACCUCCAAUUAUGAGGUCAUGGUUUGCUCUCUCCAGGUGAAGGCAGCUGCCACAAGUGGUGAAAUUUAAGUAAGAGGGUUUUGUUCACGAGUGAGAGUAUAGAGGAUCAUGAGAGGCUGCAGUCAUCCAGAUGCUUUGCCGAACUGCGGUGGUGAAGUGUGAGCUUAGUUUCUGGAUGAAGCUCUUGGUUUUCCAGUCGAUCUAUGUCCCAACGCCCACCUAUGGUCACGAGUUUUGGGUAGUGACUGAAAGAAUAAGAUUGCGAGUACAAGAAAUGGAAAUGAGAUUUCUCCAUAGGGAUGUUGGGCUUAACUCUCAGUGACAGGGAGAGGAGCUCAGAAGUCCAGGAGGUCCAUGGAGCACAGUUGCUGCUCCUCUGGAUCAAGAUGAGCCAGUUGAAAUAGUUCAGACAUCUAUCAUGAAUGCACUCUGGGGUAUACCAGGCAUGACUCAUUGGGAAGAGACCCCGGGCAGAUCAACGUCACUCUGAAGGGAUUAUAUCUGAAGGAGACGGAGACUGGUAACGGGGAUAGGGAAGUCUGGUGUGCCCUACUAAGCUUGCUACCACUGCAGCCCUCAUCAGGAGUACCCAGGGGGAAAAUGGAUGGAUGAAUUUGUCUACAAAUGUCUUUUUUUAGGUUGGGCUUCAAAGGUAAAUUAUAAUCCAUCAGAAAUACAGCAACUUGUUUAUGUUGCUGGUUUAUGUCAUUUUCAUUUGUAAACUUGCUGAUGAGGUGGGUGAGUGGUUAAGGCAAUGGACUGCUAAUCCAUUGUGCACUGCAAGCGUGGGUUUGAAUCCCAUCCUUGUCGAGGGAUUUUGUAUGCCAGCAGCUACUGUAUUUCACCCUGCAGCUUACAACUGGAAACCCACUGAACCUCAGCAGGUGUGAGCCCGGAUGUGAGACUUCCUGGGUAAAACUAAGCUUGCUGCUGGAAGUGGUGUUAGUGGGGCCAGCAGGGGGCACUCAGUACUGGCGCCAGUACUCUGUUCUCCUCCCCACUGAUGUGUGGUGACUGUUCUGGCACACUAUGGCUGCCAUCAUAUCAUCCAGGUGUGGCUGCACAAAGCUGGUGAUGGAGGGGAGUCCCCGUUAUUUGUAAAGCACUUUGAGUGGAGUGUCCAGAAAAGUGCUAUAUAAGUAUAAGCAAUUAUUAACUAAAAUUAGGCAGAAUACAUUGACAAAUCUUGAAUGUUAACUGGCCUGUGAUGAAGUAUGUUUC
RNAcentral lists this transfer RNA (3669 nucleotides) under Lepisosteus oculatus (spotted gar). RNAcentral's name for it is "lncRNA (ENSLOCG00000021710.1)". The stretch from base 3177 to 3258 matches the Rfam family "tRNA". The record is from RNAcentral. Lineage: Eukaryota; Metazoa; Chordata; Actinopteri; Semionotiformes; Lepisosteidae.